AGUGAACGCUGGCGGUAGGCCUAACACAUGCAAGUCGAACGGCAGCACAGUAAGAUCUUGCUCUUACGGGUGGCGAGUGGCGGACGGGUGAGGAAUACAUCGGAAUCUACUUUUUCGUGGGGGAUAACGUAGGGAAACUGACGCUAAUACCGCAUACGACCUACGGGUGAAAGCAGGGGAGCUUCGGACCUUGCGCGAUUGAUUGAGCCGAUGUCGGAUUAGCUAGUUGGCGGGGUAAAGGCCCACCAAGGCGACGAUCCGUAGCUGGUCUGAGAGGAUGAUCAGCCACACUGGAACUGAGACACGGUCCAGACUCCUACGGGAGGCAGCAGUGGGGAAUAUUGGACAAUGGGCGCAAGCCUGAUCCAGCCAUACCGCGUGGGUGAAGAAGGCCUUCGGGUUGUAAAGCCCUUUUGUUGGGAAAGAAAAGCAGCAGGUUAAUACCCCGCUGUUCUGACGGUACCCAAAGAAUAAGCACCGGCUAACUUCGUG
RNAcentral lists this ribosomal RNA (492 nucleotides) under uncultured bacterium. Its description in RNAcentral is "partial 16S ribosomal RNA". It matches the Rfam family "Bacterial small subunit ribosomal RNA", at positions 29 to 507 of the family's 1533-position model. The record is from RNAcentral.